Molecule: ribosomal RNA, 274 nt
Filed under: uncultured bacterium
Lineage: Bacteria
Description: partial 16S ribosomal RNA
Rfam family: Bacterial small subunit ribosomal RNA
Source: RNAcentral
AUACGGAGGGGGUUAGCGUUGUUCGGAAUUACUGGGCGUAAAGCGCACGUAGGCGGACUGGAAAGUUGGGGGUGAAAUCCCGGGGCUCAACCCCGGAACUGCCUCCAAAACUUCCAAUCUAGAGAUCGAGAGAGGUGAGUGGAAUUCCAAGUGUAGAGGUGAAAUUCGUAGAUAUUUGGAGGAACACCAGUGGCGAAGGCGGCUCACUGGCUCGAUACUGACGCUGAGGUGCGAAAGCGUGGGGAGCAAACAGGAUUAGAAACCCCUGAAGUCC